GCCUGGCUGGCUCAGUUGGUAGAGCAUGUGACUCUUGAUCUUGGGGUUGUGAGUUCAAGCCCCACGUUGGGUG
This 73-nucleotide transfer RNA is filed under the name Canis lupus familiaris (dog). It matches the Rfam family "tRNA". From Rfam's summary of the family: Transfer RNA (tRNA) molecules are approximately 80 nucleotides in length. Their secondary structure includes four short double-helical elements and three loops (D, anti-codon, and T loops). The record is from Rfam by way of RNAcentral. Lineage: Eukaryota; Metazoa; Chordata; Mammalia; Carnivora; Canidae. RNAcentral also lists the same sequence under 1 other name.